This 431-nucleotide small RNA is filed under the name Homo sapiens (human). RNAcentral's name for it is "partial non-coding RNA". The record is from RNAcentral. Lineage: Eukaryota; Metazoa; Chordata; Mammalia; Primates; Hominidae.
GCCUUCAUGUCUGCGUGCGGCGGCUGCCGCUGCUUUAAUAUGUUAGAGGCCCUAAAAAUCACAAACUAUGCUCAACUCACUCUCUACAUUUCUCAUAACUUCCAAAAUCUAUUUUCUUCCUCAUACUUGACACAUAUACUUUCUGCUCCCCGGCUCCUUCAGCUGUACUCACUCUUUAAGUCCCACAAUUACCACUGUUCCUGGCCCGGACUUCAAUCUGGCCUCUCACAUUAUUCCUGAUACCACACCUGACCCCCAUGACUGUAUCUCUCUGAUCCACCUGAUAUUCACCCUAUUUCCCCAUAUUUCCUUCUUUCCUGUUCCUCACCCUGAUCAUGCUUGAUUUAUUGAUGGCAGUUCCACCAGGCCUAAUCGCCACACACCAGCAAAGGUAGGCUAUGCUAUAGUACAAGCCACUAGCCGGCCUCUGA